This 199-nucleotide ribosomal RNA is filed under the name uncultured bacterium. RNAcentral describes it as "partial 16S ribosomal RNA". It matches the Rfam family "Bacterial small subunit ribosomal RNA", at positions 328 to 539 of the family's 1533-position model. The record is from RNAcentral.
ACGCUCGACACCUACGGGAGGCAGCAGUGGGGAAUAUUGCACAAUGGGGGAAACCCUGAUGCAGCGACGCCGCGUGAAGGAAGAAGUAUCUCGGUAUGUAAACUUCUAUCAGCAGGGAAGAAAAUGACGGUACCUGACUAAGAAGCCCCGGCCUAACUACGUGCCUGCAGCCGCGGUAAUCUGAGCGGGCUGGCAAGGC